UAGGGAAUCUUCCGCAAUGGGCGAAAGCCUGACGGAGCAACGCCGCGUGAGUGAUGAAGGUCUUCGGAUCGUAAAACUCUGUUAUUAGGGAAGAACAAAUGUGUAAGUAACUAUGCACGUCUUGACGGUACCUAAUCAGAAAGCCACGGCUAACUACGUGCCAGCAGCCGCGGUAAUACGUAGGUGGCAAGCGUUAUCCGGAAUUAUUGGGCGUAAAGCGCGCGUAGGCGGUUUUUUAAGUCUGAUGUGAAAGCCCACGGCUCAACCGUGGAGGGUCAUUGGAAACUGGAAAACUUGAGUGCAGAAGAGGAAAGUGGAAUUCCAUGUGUAGCGGUGAAAUGCGCAGAGAUAUGGAGGAACACCAGUGGCGAAGGCGACUCUCUGGUCUGUAACUGACGCUGAGGCUCGAAAGCGUGGGUAGCAAACAGG
Molecule: ribosomal RNA, 429 nt
Filed under: Bacteroidota bacterium
Lineage: Bacteria; Pseudomonadati; Bacteroidota
Description: Bacteroidetes bacterium partial 16S ribosomal RNA
Rfam family: Bacterial small subunit ribosomal RNA
Source: RNAcentral